GACGAACGCUGGCGGCGUGCUUAACACAUGCAAGUCGAGCGGUAAGGCCCUUUCGGGGGUACACGAGCGGCGAACGGGUGAGUAACACGUGGGUGACCUGCCCUCAGCUCUGGGAUAAGCCUGGGAAACCGGGUCUAAUACUGGAUAUGACUCCAUGACGCAUGUUGUGGGGUGGAAAGCCUUGUGCGGCUGAGGAUGGGCCCGCGGCCUAUCAGCUUGUUGGUGGGGUGANGGCCUACCAAGGCGACGACGGGUAGCCGGCCUGAGAGGGCGACCGGCCACACUGGGACUGAGACACGGCCCAGACUCCGUACGGGAGGCAGCAGUGGGGAAUCUUGCGCAAGUGGGACGAAAGCCUGACGCAGCGACGCCGCGU
This 376-nucleotide ribosomal RNA is filed under the name uncultured bacterium. RNAcentral's name for it is "bacterial SSU rRNA". It matches the Rfam family "Bacterial small subunit ribosomal RNA", at positions 28 to 402 of the family's 1533-position model. The record is from RNAcentral.